GAUGAACGCUGGCGGCGUGCUUAACACAUGCAAGUCGAACGAGAAGUGAAGACGGAAACCUUCGGGCGGAAGGCUUUAAUUCGAGUGGCGGACGGGUGAGUAACGCGUGGGUAACCUGCCUCAUACAGGGGGAUAACAGUUGGAAACGACUGUUAAUACCGCAUAAGACCACAGCACCGCAUGGUGCGGGGGUAAAAACUCCGGUGGUAUGAGAUGGACCCGCGUUCGAUUAGCCAGUUGGCGGGGUAACGGCCCACCAAAGCGACGAUCGAUAGCCGAUCUGAGAGGAUGACCGGCCACAUUGGGACUGAGACACGGCCCAAACUCCUACGGGAGGCAGCAGUGGGGAAUAUUGCACAAUGGGGGAAACCCUGAUGCAGCGACGCCGCGUGAGUGAAGAAGUAUUUCGGUAUGUAAAGCUCUAUCAGCAGGGAAGAAAAUGACGGUACCUGAGUAAGAAGCCCCGGCUAACUACGUG
RNAcentral lists this ribosomal RNA (478 nucleotides) under uncultured bacterium. Its description in RNAcentral is "partial 16S ribosomal RNA". It matches the Rfam family "Bacterial small subunit ribosomal RNA", at positions 28 to 507 of the family's 1533-position model. The record is from RNAcentral.